AUGUUUCGUGAAUUCACAUGCAUUAUAUUGUGGUAUGAACUGAGUACAUGAUGAUUUAUGAUGCUUAUUGGGGGCUUACCAUAAGACAAUGUCGUGAAUUCGCAAAACUU
This 110-nucleotide microRNA precursor is filed under the name Oryza punctata. RNAcentral describes it as "MIR1428 microRNA precursor family". It matches the Rfam family "MIR1428 microRNA precursor family". Lineage: Eukaryota; Viridiplantae; Streptophyta; Magnoliopsida; Poales; Poaceae. The record is from Rfam by way of RNAcentral.